Molecule: ribosomal RNA, 465 nt
Filed under: uncultured bacterium
Lineage: Bacteria
Description: partial 16S ribosomal RNA
Rfam family: Bacterial small subunit ribosomal RNA
Source: RNAcentral
CUACGGGUUGCUGCAGUGGGGAAUAUUGGACAAUGGGGGAAACCCUGAUCCAGCAAUGCCGCGUGUGUGAAGAAGGCCUGCGGGUUGUAAAGCACUUUCGGUUGGGAGGACUGCUUCUAGCACUAAUAUUGUUGGAAGUUGACGUUACCUUCAGAAGAAGCACCGGCUAACUCCGUGCCAGCAGCCGCGGUAAUACGGAGGGUGCAGGCGUUAAUCGGAAUUACUGGGCGUAAAGCGCGCGUAGGCGGCUAGAUCAGUCGGGUGUGAAAGCCCCGGGCUUAACCUGGGAACGGCAUCCGAUACUGUCUAGCUUGAGUACAGGAGAGGAGAGUGGAAUUCCACAUGUAGCGGUGAAAUGCGUAGAUAUGUGGAGGAACACCAAUGGCGAAGGCAGCUCUCUGGCCUGAUACUGACGCUGAGGUGCGAAAGCGUGGGGAGCAAACAGGAUUAGAUACCCGUGUAGUC